GACGAACGCUGGCGGCGUGCUUAACACAUGCAAGUCGAACGGAAAGGCCCUGCUUUUGUGGGGUGCUCGAGUGGCGAACGGGUGAGUAACACGUGAGUAACCUGCCCUUGACUUUGGGAUAACUUCAGGAAACUGGGGCUAAUACCGGAUAGGAGCUCCUGCUGCAUGGUGGGGGUUGGAAAGUUUCGGCGGUUGGGGAUGGACUCGCGGCUUAUCAGCUUGUUGGUGGGGUAGUGGCUUACCAAGGCUUUGACGGGUAGCCGGCCUGAGAGGGUGACCGGCCACAUUGGGACUGAGAUACGGCCCAGACUCCUACGGGAGGCAGCAGUGGGGAAUAUUGCACAAUGGGCGGAAGCCUGAUGCAGCAACGCCGCGUGCGGGAUGACGGCCUUCGGGUUGUAAACCGCUUUCGCCUGUGACGAGGCGUGAGUGACGGUAAUGGGUAAAGAAGCACCGGCUAACUACGUGCCAGCAGCCGCGGUGAUACGUAGGGUGCGAGCGUUGUCCGGAUUUAUUGGGCGUAAAGGGCUCGUAGGUGGUUGAUCGCGUCGGAAGUGUAAUCUUGGGGCUUAACCCUGAGCGUGCUUUCGAUACGGGUUGACUUGAGGAAGGUAGGGGAGAAUGGAAUUCCUGGUGGAGCGGUGGAAUGCGCAGAUAUCAGGAGGAACACCAGUGGCGAAGGCGGUUCUCUGGGCCUUUCCUGACGCUGAGGAGCGAAAGCGUGGGGAGCGAACAGGCUUAGAUACCCUGGUAGUCCACGCUGUAAACGGUGGGUACUAGGUGUGGGGUCCAUUCCACGGGUUCCGUGCCGUAGCUAACGCUUUAAGUACCCCGCCUGGGGAGUACGGCCGCAAGGCUAAAACUCAAAGGAAUUGACGGGGCCCCGCACAAGCGGCGGAGCAUGCGGAUUAAUUCGAUGCAACGCGUAGAACCUUACCUGGGUUUGACAUGGAUCGGGAGCGCUCAGAGAUGGGUGUGCCUCUUUUGGGGUCGGUUCACAGGUGGUGCAUGGCUGUCGUCAGCUCGUGUCGUGAGAUGUUGGGUUAAGUCCCGCAACGAGCGCAACCCUUGUUCACUGUUGCCAGCACGUUAUGGUGGGGACUCAGUGGAGACCGCCGGGGUCAACUCGGAGGAAGGUGGGGAUGACGUCAAGUCACCAUGCCCCUUAUGUCCAGGGCUUCACGCAUGCUACAAUGGCUGGUACAGAGAGUGGCGAGCCUGUGAGGGUGAGCGAAUCUCGGAAAGCCGGUCUCAGUUCGGAUUGGGGUCUGCAACUCGACCUCAUGAAGUCGGAGUCGCUAGUAAUCGCAGAUCAGCAACGCUGCGGUGAAUACGUUCCCGGG
This 1343-nucleotide ribosomal RNA is filed under the name uncultured bacterium. RNAcentral's name for it is "16S ribosomal RNA". It matches the Rfam family "Bacterial small subunit ribosomal RNA", at positions 28 to 1378 of the family's 1533-position model. The record is from RNAcentral.